UGGGUAAUCUUUUGAAACUUCAUCGUGAUGGGGAUAGAGCAUUGCAAUUAUUGCUCUUCAACGAGGAAUCCCUAGUAAGCAUGAGUCAUCAGCUCGUGCUGAUUACGUCCCUGCCCUUUGUACACACCGCCCGUCGCUACUACCGAUUGAAUGGCUUAGUGAGACCCUCGGAUCGAUAAGUGGAAACCUUCACGGGUAUCCUUUUGUUGAGAAGUUGGUCAAACUUGGUCAUUUAGAGGAAGUAAAAGUCGUAACAAGGUAGCCGUAGGUGAACCUGCGGAAGGAUCAUU
This 290-nucleotide ribosomal RNA is filed under the name Gigaspora rosea. Its description in RNAcentral is "partial 18S ribosomal RNA". It matches the Rfam family "Eukaryotic small subunit ribosomal RNA", at positions 1543 to 1830 of the family's 1831-position model. Lineage: Eukaryota; Fungi; Glomeromycota; Glomeromycetes; Diversisporales; Gigasporaceae. The record is from RNAcentral.